AGAAGAUCCAUCAAAGGCUGGAUGGCCAAUUAUGAGGCUGAGCAAAACAGACAGAAACAUGCCCUGGUUGCUGAAUAUAACUGUUUAGAUAUUAUCUCUGAGACUAACCCUCCUUCCCCUAACACUAACCGCAGAAUUAAAAAAAUUGCAGGUGAUUUGGAGGAGAUCUGGAGAAAGGAAGUAAUCAAGGCCAGACAGAGAUCCAGAGAUAGGGACAUCCUUGAAGGAGAUUUGAAUGCUGGCUACUUCAAAGCAAUAGCUAACCAGAAGAGGAGGAGAAAGCAGAUCUUGGUGCUAGAAGGAGAAGGAGGUAAUGUCACUAGCCAUGAUGAUAUUAUGAAAGUUGAUGUAGAUUACUACAAAAAGCUUUUUGGUUUUCAAGACAAAAUCAACAUCAACCUUAAAGAUGACUUUUGGGAGGAUGGAGAGAAAGUUACUGAUGCGCGUAACAAAACCUUAGAUGCCCCUUUCUCUGAGAAAGAGAUUAAAGAGGCUGUCUUUGGCUCUUAUGCAAAAGGUGCCCCCGGGCCUGAUGGCUUCCCUUUUCUAUUUUACCAGCAAUUUUGGGACCUCAUCAAGGGGGACUUAUUUGCGUUA
This 597-nucleotide ribosomal RNA is filed under the name Triticum aestivum (bread wheat). Its description in RNAcentral is "partial small subunit ribosomal RNA". The record is from RNAcentral. Lineage: Eukaryota; Viridiplantae; Streptophyta; Magnoliopsida; Poales; Poaceae.